UUUUUGUGUUUUUAUUUGUAUAUUUAUUUGAUUAUUAUGUGUGAGUGGAUAGAUGAAAGUGAGAUAGAGAGGGUGAUUGACCUUGUAGUAGGGUAUGAAGAGUAAUUAGAGAAAGAUAGAAUAACUUAGAAUUAUUUUAUUAAUUGAAAUAAUAUUUUGAUUUUAUUAUAUAAGUAAUAGUGUUUUAAUUAUUAAAUGAAAUAAUAUGAGUAGUAACAUGUUUUAGUGAAUUUAAC
This 236-nucleotide long non-coding RNA is filed under the name Lathyrus oleraceus (garden pea). RNAcentral's name for it is "Pisum sativum (pea) long non-coding RNA (PSAT_LNC025567)". The record is from RNAcentral. Lineage: Eukaryota; Viridiplantae; Streptophyta; Magnoliopsida; Fabales; Fabaceae.